Molecule: ribosomal RNA, 484 nt
Filed under: uncultured soil bacterium
Lineage: Bacteria
Description: bacterial SSU rRNA
Rfam family: Bacterial small subunit ribosomal RNA
Source: RNAcentral
AUGACGGCCUUCGGGUUGUAAACCUCUUUCAGUAGGGAAGAAGCGAAAGUGACGGUACCUGCAGAAGAAGCGCCGGCUAACUACGUGCCAGCAGCCGCGGUAAUACGUAGGGCGCAAGCGUUAUCCGGAAUUAUUGGGCGUAAAGAGCUCGUAGGCGGUUUGUCGCGUCUGCUGUGAAAGACCGGGGCUCAACUCCGGUUCUGCAGUGGGUACGGGCAGACUAGAGUGCAGUAGGGGAGACUGGAAUUCCUGGUGUAGCGGUGAAAUGCGCAGAUAUCAGGAGGAACACCGAUGGCGAAGGCAGGUCUCUGGGCUGUAACUGACGCUGAGGAGCGAAAGCAUGGGGAGCGAACAGGAUUAGAUACCCUGGUAGUCCAUGCCGUAAACGUUGGGCACUAGGUGUGGGGGACAUUCCACGUUUUCCGCGCCGUAGCUAACGCAUUAAGUGCCCCGCCUGGGGAGUACGGCCGCAAGGCUAAAACUC